This 110-nucleotide microRNA precursor is filed under the name Prunus dulcis (almond). RNAcentral describes it as "sRNA ncRNA". The record is from RNAcentral. Lineage: Eukaryota; Viridiplantae; Streptophyta; Magnoliopsida; Rosales; Rosaceae.
UGAGAACUUAGAGAAUUUGAGGAAGAGAAGGGAGAGGUGCUCUAGAGAGGUGUUCGACCUUCCUUCUCUCUCUUUUCUCCCUCGAAUUCUCUUAGUUUUCCUUUUAAGUU